Long non-coding RNA from Leopardus geoffroyi (Geoffroy's cat), 252 nucleotides. RefSeq lists it as uncharacterized. The transcript has 3 exons. Lineage: Eukaryota; Metazoa; Chordata; Mammalia; Carnivora; Felidae. The record is from RefSeq and is a predicted model, not a curated record.
GGGGCUGUGGGGGUGAGUGAGCGGCUGGAUAGGAACGCGCUGGGCUAGCAGACAGACAGCUGGCUGGGAGAGCUGGACAUGGACAGAAGGACACAAGGGUGGAUGGACAGCUGGUGGGAGAGCUGGAUGUAUGGAAAGAAGGAUACAGGAGUGGACGGACAGAUAGCUGGUGGGAGGGCUAGAGAUGGACAGAAGGGACACAGGGAGAGAAAGACACGGAUGGACAGACGGAUGGAUGGCUGGUGGAGAGGU